GGCCAGACUCCUACGGGAGGCAGCAGUGGGGAAUAUUGCACAAUGGGGGAAACCCUGAUGCAGCGACGCCGCGUGAGUGAAGAAGUAUUUCGGUAUGUAAAGCUCUAUCAGCAGGGAAGAAGUUGACGGUACCUGAGUAAGAAGCCCCGGCUAACUACGUGCCAGCAGCCGCGGUAAUACGUAGGGGGCAAGCGUUAUCCGGAUUUACUGGGUGUAAAGGGAGCGUAGACGGCAGUGCAAGUCUGGAGUGAAAGCCCCGGGCUUAACCCGGGAACUGCUUUGGAAACUGUACGGCUGGAGUGCUGGAGAGGUAAGCGGAAUUCCUAGUGUAGCGGUGAAAUGCGUAGAUAUUAGGAGGAACACCAGUGGCGAAGGCGGCUUACUGGACAGUAACUGACGUUGAGGCUCGAAAGCGUGGGGAGCAAACAGGAUUAGAUACCCCUGUAU
Molecule: ribosomal RNA, 447 nt
Filed under: uncultured bacterium
Lineage: Bacteria
Description: bacterial SSU rRNA
Rfam family: Bacterial small subunit ribosomal RNA
Source: RNAcentral